This is a long non-coding RNA of Nicotiana tabacum (common tobacco), 1905 nucleotides long. RefSeq lists it as uncharacterized. The record is from RefSeq and is a predicted model, not a curated record. Lineage: Eukaryota; Viridiplantae; Streptophyta; Magnoliopsida; Solanales; Solanaceae.
GGUCUGCGUACACACUACCCUCCCCAGACCCCACUAAGUGGGAUUAUACUGGGUUGUUGUUGUUGUUGUUGUUGUUGUUGUAAUUGUAGGCGGUGUACUACGAAGUACAUAAGAUUUGGGAGUACAACAAUAUUGGGGUAUGUCUCUGUUUCUCUUUCAACCUUAGAUUCUUGUAAAACAUUUCUUUUCUGCAUUCUAUAUGAUUUCAUGUUUGUGCCAUUUCUUUCUCAGUAUAUUUUGCCAAGUCAACAUGGAACUUUACUCAUCCUACAUUGUUUAGGCUGCCUAUAUUUAUUUCAGAGGCACAAGGAUAUUUGGUGUUAGCGAAAGGAUUAUAGGAUGCAAAGAAUGUACGUAAAUUUAAAUUAUAGUUGAAAUAUUUGCUGAGUAUAUUAGAUUUAGGAAAACCUAUGCAAAAGCUAAGAUAUUUAAGAGCAAUUAAUUUUGCUGGGCAGCGGAUUCUGCUAAUAGAUAUACAGGAAUGCUACUGUGAUCGCUUCAACAAUUUAUUUAUUGCCUAAAUCUCAUAGAAUGGAGUACUUGGUUGAUGCUGAUUCCUUUAUCCCUGUGUAAGAUGUUUAAAGAUUUUUCAUUUUCUUUACACGCAAGUGGUUCUAUAUGUUUAAAAUUGCUAAGUAACUUUGAGAUUCUUUGUCUCUAAUAGGAAAAAUCUUAUGCUAACAAAUUUGUUGGAGUCACUUCUUUUGAGAUGUUAUUACUUUAUAUCUAUUAUUCUUUUCAGAUAAACUAAGCAUUUACAUUGAUAAGCACGUACCAAAAAAAAGGCCGAGACAUUGUUAUCGUUCUUUCUUCUCGGGUAUAAGUGUGAUAUAGACCUAUUUGCUUGAUUCUUCCUUCUCUAAACUCAUGCUCACCAUAGUUUUUCUUCUUUCCAAGUUCUAUUUUUAUUGCUUAUUGAUAAAGUAAAAGUGUCUUUUCUGAUUACUUUGCGCACAUUAUUCCAGUUUGAUUAUAUACUUGAUUGAUGAUGAAAGCGAAAAACUUAUCUUUUUCCUAAAGCAUCUCUGAUUUGCUCCUUGUUUAUUCACUUUAAUCUUUCUUCCUACACUUUUCGUAAAACAUCUCUAAAAUGAUAGCUUUUCUGGUAGAUGAAUUGAAUGGUUGUAUUGACGCACCUCCUGACAAGGAGAAAAGAAAGAAGGAAGUUCAAAAUUUACAUAUUUUAAAGAAGAGAAAGUACAGCUUAGGGCAAUUACCAAACUUAUAAUCUUAGUUGUAACAGGAGGGAAACACACUAUAUUUGCUGGGUGCCUCAUUUUUAUUAUUUUGAAUAUAUAUCUUAUCCAUGAGCAAUAAUUGGUCGUAGUUAUAGAUUUUUGCCAGAUCCUAAAUAUAGAUAAUGGAGUAGCUUGCAAUGAUAGCAGUUCAUCCAUCACCACUGCUGUAAGGGGAUCCUACAAAUUAUAGGUCUUUAACUAGACUAAAUGCUUCUUGAAUGCGCUGAGAUGGAAACAAUAGUGCUGAGACGGUAGAAAAAAGCGAUGAAGAUGUUUCCUGCAAAAACUGGCUUUCUUGCUGAUCUCAGAUUCGUAAAUCGGGAAGAACCAUUAUAAUGUGGUUGUAGUAGAAUAUGAUGCUUUAACUCGAACAAGAGGGGAGAGAAUAGUAUUAGUAUAUCUUAGUUCAAUCUGUUGCCAGCCAAAGCCUGGAGAUCCUGAAGACUUAUUCACCUCUUUGGGUGUAUUGCUCAAUCUUUCUAGGCAAUAGGUGCACGUGUUUUACUCAAAAAAAAGAAGAUAGAUCCAUGUGUAAAGAUCGUAACUGUCAAUUGUUUACUUUUUCAAAUUUUAUGCCUUCUGCAGUAUGUUUCUUAAUAUUUCUUUGGAAGAUGUUUCAUUUGAGUGAAAAAAAUGACAGAAAGAUCUCAGUUGAUGAGUUUUGUGA